UACGAAGGGGGCUAGCGUUGCUCGGAAUCACUGGGCGUAAAGCGCACGUAGGCGGAUCCUUAAGUCAGGGGUGAAAUCCUGGAGCUCAACUCCAGAACUGCCUUUGAUACUGGGGAUCUCGAGUCCGGGAGAGGUGAGUGGAACUCCGAGUGUAGAGGUGAAAUUCGUAGAUAUUCGGAAGAACACCAGUGGCGAAGGCGGCUCACUGGCCCGGUACUGACGCUGAGGUGCGAAAGCGUGGGGAGCAAACAGG
RNAcentral lists this ribosomal RNA (253 nucleotides) under uncultured bacterium. Its description in RNAcentral is "partial 16S ribosomal RNA". It matches the Rfam family "Bacterial small subunit ribosomal RNA", at positions 524 to 776 of the family's 1533-position model. The record is from RNAcentral.